Molecule: ribosomal RNA, 408 nt
Filed under: uncultured bacterium
Lineage: Bacteria
Description: partial 16S ribosomal RNA
Rfam family: Bacterial small subunit ribosomal RNA
Source: RNAcentral
AGUGAACGCUGGCGGCGUGCCUAAUACAUGCAAGUCGAACGGAGCGGCGCACGGGUGAGUCAUGUAUAGCUAAUCUGCCCUACACUAGUGGACAAAAGUUGGAAACGACGGCAAAUAAUCAAUAGGGGUGGCUGAGGCUAUAUUGUAGCAGCUAGUUGGUGAGGUAAUGGCUCACCAAGGCGAAGACGCAUAACUGGUCUGCGGGGAUGAUCGGUAACUCUGGAAGGGAGACACGGGUCAGACUUCUGCGGGAGGCAGCAGUAGGUGAUAGUGCUCAAUGGGGGAAUCCCUGAGUCUGCAACGCCGCGUGGAGGAUGUCACUUUUCGGGGCGUAAACUCCUUUUGUUAGGGAAGCGGUACCUAACGAAUAAGCACCGGCUAACUCCGUGCCAGCAGCCGCGGUAAUUC